GAUCAUGGCUCAGGACGAACGCUGGCGGCGUGCCUAAUACAUGCAAGUCGAACGAACUGUGGAAAGCUUGCUUUUCAGAGUUAGUGGCGAACGGGUGAGUAACACGUAAGUAACCUAGCUAUUAGACGAGGAUAACUACUGGAAACGGUAGCUAAGACUGGAUAUGAUAGAAAUAUUUAAAGGAUGCUAAGGCAUCGCUAAUAGAGGGGCUUGCGGCGCAUUAGCUAGUUGGUAGGGUAAAAGCCAACCAAGGCGAUGAUGCGUAGCCGACCUGAGAGGGUGACCGGCCACACUGGGACUGAGACACGGCCCAGACUCCUACGGGAGGCAGCAGUAGGGAAUCUUCGGCAAUGGACGGAAGUCUGACCGAGCAACGCCGCGUGAGUGAAGAAAGUUUUCGGAUUGUAAAGCUCUGUUAUUAGGGAAGAAAGGCUCUAGGAGGAAAUGCUUAGGGAUUGACGGUACCUAAUGAGGAAGCCACGGCUAACUACGUGCCAGCAGCCGC
RNAcentral lists this ribosomal RNA (505 nucleotides) under uncultured bacterium. Its description in RNAcentral is "bacterial SSU rRNA". It matches the Rfam family "Bacterial small subunit ribosomal RNA", at positions 15 to 518 of the family's 1533-position model. The record is from RNAcentral.